RNAcentral lists this transfer RNA (67 nucleotides) under human gut metagenome. It matches the Rfam family "tRNA". From Rfam's summary of the family: Transfer RNA (tRNA) molecules are approximately 80 nucleotides in length. Their secondary structure includes four short double-helical elements and three loops (D, anti-codon, and T loops). Further hydrogen bonds mediate the characteristic L-shaped molecular structure. tRNAs have two regions of fundamental functional importance: the anti-codon, which is responsible for specific mRNA codon recognition, and the 3' end, to which the tRNAs corresponding amino acid is attached (by aminoacyl-tRNA synthetases). tRNAs cope with the degeneracy of the genetic code in two manners: having more than one tRNA (with a specific anti-codon) for a particular amino acid; and 'wobble' base-pairing, i.e. permitting non-standard base-pairing at the 3rd anti-codon position. The record is from RNAcentral.
AAAUUAGUUUAAUGGUAGAAUAAAUCACUCGUAAUGAUUAGACAUAGGUUCGAUUCCUAUAUUUGGC